Manihot esculenta (cassava) is the source of this 1042-nucleotide long non-coding RNA. RefSeq lists it as uncharacterized. The transcript has 2 exons. The record is from RefSeq and is a predicted model, not a curated record. NCBI's taxonomy places the organism in Eukaryota, Viridiplantae, Streptophyta, Magnoliopsida, Malpighiales, Euphorbiaceae.
CAUUUCUGUCCUCCUUAGAUGCUUUCACACAAAAAGAACUUCGCAGUUUGACAUCUUCUAAUUUUUUGGUGGAAGUCAUCAACAAAAUUGUGGAAAUUUCGAGCUUUUUCCCAUUUGGUGGACAAACACUUUCAUACCGACUCUUGAGUGAACCGGUGAAAAUCCCUGCCUGCAACUUCCUACAACUUAAGAAGGAAGCAAAGCAAAGCAAAGCAAUUUCUCUCUCUUUGCGCUUACUUUAUAUAUAAAACCAGCGCGAGCUUCCCUCAGCUAAACGAACCCAGAAACAGUAUACAUAUGGCAUCCUCUGCCUUGCAUCCAGUGAAACAUGAUGUGUUCCUUAGUUUUAGAGGCGCAGAUACCCGUAACAAUUUUACUAGCCAUCUCUAUGGUGCUUUGCAUCGCCAAGGAAUUAUGACCUUUAUAGACAAUAGGCUUGACAGAGGGGAAGAGAUCGAGCCAGCAAUUUUGAAAUCAAUCCAAGACUCUGAAAGUUCAGUUAUUAUUUUCUAGAAAAAUUAUGCAGAUUCUCCAUGGUGCUUGGAUGAGCUUGUGAAGAUAUUGGAGUGCAAGGACAAACAAGGUAAUUCCUGUAUUUUACCAUGUUGAUCCAACUGAUUUAGACAACCAAACCGCAAGUUUUGAAGAGGCAUUUGUUAAGCACGACCAAGAUUUCAAGGAGAAUUCGGACAGGGUACAGAAGUGAAGAACCGCAUUGAGCAGAGCAGCCAAUAUUUCUGGGGAGGUUUUGACUGAGUCGUACACCAGAUGUAGACAACCGAGCUGCUAGUUUUGGAAGGGCAUUAAAAAAGCACGAGCAAGAUUUCAAGAAGAAUUCGGACAAGGUGCGGUAGUGGAGAACUGCGUCCACCAGAGCAGCUACUAUUUCUGGGGAGACCUUUACUAUUUUGAUAAUACUGAUGACUUUUUUUUUAUACUUUCUUGUUUUUAUUGGGACUCAAAUUCGAGACUUAUCACUAAAUUGAAGCUCAUUGAUAUAACACUAUUAAGUUAAUUUUUAAAAUAUGAUGAUUUGCUUAUA